UGUGUGUGUACACACACACACACACACACACAUAUAUAUAUAUAUCAGUAUUUCUACUGAAAUCCUAAUGCAUAUUUUGUGUUCUGUUUUCACCUGGCAGAUAAUGGAAAAUAAGAAAUCGAUAGAGAAGCUUAAAGAGGUCAUUUCAGCGAAUACUAAUGAACUUUCAGAGGUAAAGCUGCCAACUCUUGCUAACGGGUAUUAAUACUACAUCUUAGUUUUCUUGCGGACCAAAAAUUUGAGGUGUGCUAAAAUGUGCAAAAAAUGAGAACUAUAUGAUGUCUGGUUUGGGAGAGUAUAACUUUGUUUUUUCUUUGGAAUUAAUUCACUAACUGUAGUGUUUUGCAUUAGCUUCAAAUUGUCCUUAAUGAAGCUAAGCUUCAUGAAGAGAAGGUGAAGUUGGAAUGCUGUCGGCUUCAGAAAGAAAAUACCAUGCUUAAGAAGAAGAAAGAGCAGGUAAAGAAAAUUUGAUGUCAUACAUAAUGUAAACUAGAGAAGUGAAUAUCAUUAUCUUGUAUCUUUCUUGGAUCUGUUUCUGAGGUAAGGAAUAUUCAUGUAGGACCUUUUCUAGAUAUGCAAAGUUUAAACAAUGCUCCCCAAAUUGAGUGCAUAUAUAUGUUCUCCAUCUGUUUUGGAUUUUGGGAUUAUUGCUUUUCUUAUCAAAUAUCAAUCAGUUAUUAACUUGCAUAGCCUCAAAGAAACUUUUUAAACCAGAAAAUUAAGUAUUGUAUGAUCCUCUUUUGAGUAGUUACUGAUUCACCGGCCAAGGGAAGAUUACAUGAUAAGGAGUCUAAAUUUAGGAGACAGUCAUAUGUGCCCAGCCAUUCCUGCUGGAGGUAAAUUAUUUGAAUUGGCAGCAAUUUUCUGGGGAAUGCAAUAAACAGGGUCAACUUCCUGAUAGCUCUGAUGUUCUUACUGCAGCUGUGAGAGUUGGGGCCACUCUGCCCUCUUCCUUAACCAAGGUCUCAACCCCCUCGAUUGAGGCAGGCCACCGAGGAGUAUGGCUCUCUAUUUCUUUGUCUAAGUCUUGUAGUCCUGAUGUAUCCAGUGCAGAAACCCCUCCCUAACCCAUAGGAAUUCAUGUGUUUUGGCUUUUCAGUUGCAGCAGGAAGUCAAAGACUGGAGUACAUCACAUGCUGAGCUCAGUGAACAAAUCAAAUCAUUUGAGAAGUCCCAGAAAGAUUUACAAGUAGCUCUUAGUCACAAAGAAGAUACUGUUAACGUAAGUUUAUACUCCAAAUACAUGUUUCAUCUCAUGAAUUCUCCUGAAAUCUUCUGAAUUAAAAUCGAGAGUCUUCCAACCUUUUGCUUCUUUUCUAGGCUUUGACUAAUUAUAUCACACAGUUGAAUCGGUUACAAUGUGAAUCUGAAUCUGAGGAUCAAAAUAGAGAAGAUGAGUCAGAUGAAUUAACCAAUGGAGAGGUAGCAGGUAAGAUCAGUCUCAGGGAGGUUGAAUCCUUUUUUGCUUUCCUGUCUUUAAUUAAGUAUACAGAUGCCACUUUUCAGCUGGCUGAAUUUCUUCUUAAGCUUCAGGGUUGUAGACACAUAUCACUGGAUCUAUAGAUAUGUCUGUUGCAUUGGCAGAAGUGGGUUGCUGGGGUAUAAUGUAGCAAUAGGCAUGUGAAGAACACUGACUUUUUCUAUCCCAUUGAAAAAUAGUAAGUACACUGCACUACAAUAGUCACAUCCUAUACCUCUAAGUAUUGAACAUUGUACAGUAAGAGAAAUUUAUUUCUUUUACUUAUGCAGAUGAUACUUGAUUUUGAUACUCAUCAUCUCUAUGGCUCUGUGGUUUUAAGGUCCACAGUCAGUCUUAAGAGUCCGGAGGUAGUUGGAACCAUAAACUAAGGCUGUGAGAACAGAGGCUAGAGACUAUCAGAAAGCUAGAGAGGGAGUACUGAUGAGGAAAAUAUUUCCAGAUGUUUUCUCCCAAGUUGGAUAUUGCUUACAUAGCAAGUAUUUCAAACCACACCUGGUAGUAGAUUCAGGGAGAAAAUAGAGGAUUGAAUCUUUCUAAAUAAGACACUUACUUGCCCAGGUGCAGAUAGAUCUGAGAGAGAAGAAAAGCUUUUAUCUUACAAGAAUAACAUAGAUGACAUUUUAGUUGUGCAAACUAGAAAUUCACCUUUUGUUUGUUUGUUUGUUUUUAAGACAGACACAGUACUUUUAUUUAUUUUUAUGCUGAGGAUCAAACUCAGUGCCUCACACAUGCUAGGUGAGCACUCUACCACUGAGCCACAACCCCAGCCUGAAAUUCACCUCUCUCUCUCUCUUUUUUUUUUUUUUUUUUAAAUCUAAGCUUGCAAUUCUCUUAAAAGUCAUUAGUCUAAUCAGUUUAGUUAUUUAAUUGAUUUUUUUGUUUUGUUUGAACACAAUCAUUAUUUAGUUUGGGGAAGUUAGGAGAAUAUAGAGUUAAAAGUAAGGAAAGAAAAAGCUAAAGUCUUUUGUUUUUUAGGUGAUCGGAAUAAGAAGAUCAAAGAUCAAAUUAAGCAGAUGAUGGAUGUCUCUCGGGUAUAGUUCUUUGUAAGAGUCCCAUAGUGCCUGUGAAUUCUUCCUGUGCCUCACUUUUAAGAAUACCUCUCUUUUCUGCAAUUUUUAGACACAAACUACAAUAUCAGUAGUUGAAGAGGAUCUAAAACUUUUACAACUUAAGCUAAGAGACUCGAUGUCCACAAAAUGUAAUCUAGAAGGUGGGUUCUUCUUGAGAAGAAAUUGCUAUGUUGGAAAGACUUAAAAUUUUAUUGGAAAGAUAAAGAAUGGCUUCUUGCUUUCGUGCUUCUUACUUUUCUUGGCACUACUCCCUCAAACAAGUUCUUAAGUCCUUGUACACAUAUAGAGAUAAGCUGUUUUAUCCUUUACAGACCAAAUAAAGAAAUUAGAAAGUAACUACAGUUCACUACAGUCUUCUAAAGUUGAACUGGAAGAGGAAUGUAAAACU
RNAcentral lists this long non-coding RNA (2938 nucleotides) under Marmota monax (woodchuck). Lineage: Eukaryota; Metazoa; Chordata; Mammalia; Rodentia; Sciuridae. The record is from RNAcentral.